UUAUCGGAAUGAGAACAGUUCAAAUCCUUUAACGAGGAUCUAGCGGAGGGCAAGUCUGGUGCCAGCAGCCGCGGUAAUUCCAGCUCCGCAGGUGUAUAUCUAUGCUGCUGCGGUUAAAAAGCUCGUAGUUGGAUCUGCGUGCUCGGAACUGGUUGGCUCACUGAGUUCAAACUGGUCUCCGGCGCUUUAUUGGCUGGUUUUCCCUUGAUGCUCUUAACCGGGUGUCUUGGGUGGCUAGCACGUUUACUUUGAAAAAAUUAGAGUGCUCAAUACAGGCGUAAAGCCUUGAAUAGUGGUGCAUGGAAUAAUAGAAUAGGACCUCGGCUCUAUUUUGUUGGUUUUCGGAACGCGAGGUAAUGAUUAAGAGGGACAGACGGGGGCAUUCGUAUUGCGACGUUAGAGGUGAAAUUCUUGGAUCGUCGCAAGACGGACGACUGCGAAAGCAUUUGCCAAGAAUGUUUUCAUUAAUCAAGAACGAAAGUUAGAGGUUCGAAGGCGAUCAGAUACCGCCCUAGUUCUAACCGUAAACGAUGCCAACUAGCGAUUCGCAGGCGUUAAACAACGACCUUGCGGGCAGCUUCCCGGAAACGAAAGUGUUCGGGUUCCGGGGGAAGUAUGGUUGCAAAGCUGAAACUUAAAGGAAUUGACGGAAGGGCACCACCAGGAGUGGAGCCUGCGGCUUAAUUUGACCCAACACGGGAAAACUCGCCCGGCCCGGACACCGUAAGGAUUGACAGAUUGAGAGCUCUUUCUUGAUUCGGUGGGUGGUGGUGCAUGGCCGUUCUUAGUUGGUGGAGCGAUUUGUCUGGUUUAUUCCGAUAACGAACGAGACUCUGGCCUACUAAAUAGUGGGCGGAUUCUUUCUGUCCGCAACACUUCUUAGAGGGACAAGCGGUGUUCAGCCGCACGAGAUUGAGCAAUAACAGGUCUGUGAUGCCCUUAGAUGUCCGGGGCUGCACGCGCGCUACACUGAAGGAAUCAGCGUGCUUUCUGACCUUGCCCGAAAGGGCUGGGUAACCCGAUGAAAAUCCUUCGUGAUUGGGAUAGGGACUUGCAAUUAUUUCCCUUGAACAAGGAAUUCCCAGUAAGUGUGGGUCAUAAGCUCGCGUUGAUUACGUCCCUGCCCUUUGUACACACCGCCCGUCGCUGCCCGGAACUGAGCUGUUUCGAGAAGAACAGCGACCGUCGUUGAAGGGCCUUAACGGGCUUUUCUCUGAUAGAAACUGUU
Molecule: ribosomal RNA, 1228 nt
Filed under: metagenome
Description: SSU rRNA
Rfam family: Eukaryotic small subunit ribosomal RNA
Source: RNAcentral